AGAAUGCUUCUGAUGGGAGUGCAAUCUGCCGGAGAACCUUUUGCUUGUCCAUGUUAUUGUUCAGUGCUUGACUUGAAUUGAAGUAUUUGUUGGAAGUUAAAAAUUUCUUAGUUGAACUCCAUGCUCCAUUCAACUUUCCUUGCAUGUGAGCUCGUGGCUGUAGCUGCGCACGUGAGCUCGUUGCUGUAGCUGCGCGCCUGAUUAAUUGAUUGUUUUAGUUUUUGGUGUCGAUGAUUCAAUUCCUGGGUAGCUGAAUGCAGCUGGUUCUUUUGACUAUACCUGCCUACACUACAGCAUGUGACUGUAGCUGUGUACGUGUAUCUGAGCUCGUUGCUCUAGCUGCAGUUGAGGGAUAGGAAUACAUUCCUUAGAUCAAUUAUACCUGCCUAUGAUGCUGUUGGCUCCUGCUAUAUUGCUUGUUUUCUUCUGCUGAUCAUGAUCGGAAAGAGAGGGAGGGAGCUCAGAAAAGAAGCAUUACACAGGAAAAAUUAGAACAUAGGAGAAUGGCAGGAGGAGGUUUCGUGGUUGACGGAAGUCGGAGAGAAGGCGAAAUGGGUGGGCAAAUAACGGUUGCAGUGGUGAUAACCUGCAUAGUUGCUGCCUCUAGUGGGCUCAUUUUUGGCUAUGACAUUGGGAUUUCAGGUGGAGUAACAACAAUGGUACCAUUUUUAAGAAAGUUUUUCCCAUCGAUAUUGAAGAAGUCAAGGGAUGCCAAAACAAAUAUAUACUGCAUGUAUGAUAGUCAAGUAUUAACAUCCUUCACAUCUUCCCUCUACAUUGCUGGAUUAUUCGCUUCGCUUGUUGCCAGCCGUAUUACUGCUAAGUUUGGGCGCAAGUUCAGCAUGCUUCUCGGCGGCUGUUCCUUCCUUCUUGGUGCUACUGUCAAUGGUGCCGCUCAAAAUAUUGCUAUGCUCAUCAUUGGCCGCAUUUUGCUUGGGUUUGGUGUUGGAUUUACUAAUCAGGCAACACCACUUUACCUAUCAGAGGUGGCACCCCCAAAGUGGCGAGGGGCAUUCAGUACUGGAUUUCAGUUCUUCAUAGGAAUUGGAGUGGUGGUAGCCAACUGCAUAAACUACGCGACAUCUAAGCUAACUUGGGGAUGGCGGCUGUCUUUAGGACUUGCCGUAGUCCCAGCAGGUAUAAUGACAUUAGGAGUCCUGAUCAUCCCUGACACCCCUCAUAGUUUGGUGGAACGAGGCAAGAUGGACGAGGCCAGAAAGUCCUUGGAGAAGGCACGAGGAGAUAAUGCUGAUGUGAAAACUGAGCUUGCGGAGCUUAUCAAGGCUACCCAAUUGGCUAAAGCAGAUAAGGAGGAGCCUUUUGUCAGCAUUUUUGAGAGGCGUUACAGGCCACUUUUAGUCUUGGCGAUUCUUAUCCCUUUCUUUCAACAAAUUACUGGGAUCAGUGUCAUUGCUUUCUAUGCGCCUGUCUUGUUCCAGUCUGUUGGGUUUGGUAGCGAAUCUGCUUUGAUUGCUGCUAUCAUUUUGGGUUUGGUUAAUCUCGGCUCCAUUACUGUGUCCACAUUUUUGGUUGAUCGAUUUGGUCGAAGAUUCUUGUUCCUAGAAGGCGGGGUUCAAAUGUUUAUAUUUCAGAGAAAGGUUCAAGAGAGGAAAAUUUAUGGAGCUAAGGCGAGUCGAAAUGGCCCAGAAAUAUCUCACCUUCUUUUUGCAGAUGACAGUCUUCUCUUUGCGAGGGCUAACCGACAUGAAUGCAUGACAAUUGUUGAUAUACUCAACCAGUAUGAAAAAGCAUCCGGGCAGAAAAUUAAUUACGAAAAGUUGGAGGCAGUGGGAUUAGUACUGAACAACAACAAGAAUUGAUGGGUAUUCCUGAACAUGAGACAAGUUGAUAGACAUGGUAAGUAUUUGGGUCUCCCUAUUGUUGCGGUGAGAUCAAAGAAAGUUAUGUUUGAAGCUUUGAUGGAUCGAAUCUGGAAGAAAUUGCAGGGAUGGAAAGAAAAACUAUUGUCACGAGCAGGGAAAGAAAUACUACUCAAAUCUGUUGUACAAGCCAUUCCAACUUAUUUGAUGGGUGUAUACAAGAUUCCUAGCUCGAUAAUUGCAAGAAUUAGUUCGGUGAUGGCCCAUUUCUUUUGGGGAAAAACUGGACCCACUAGAAAAAUUCAUUGGAAGAAUUGGGAUGAUAUGUGUACUCCAAAAUUUCUCGGGGGGAUGGGGUUUAAAGAUUUGAGUGUUUUUAAUGAUGUACUACUAGGCAGACAGGCUUGGAGACUAGUUCAGCAUGGCACCUCUUUUAUGGGGCACGUAAUGAAGGCCAAGUAUUAUCCGAAAAAAUCAUUUCUUGAGGUUUCUCUGGGGUUUGCAGGGAGUUAUUCUUGGCGAAGCAUUUGGAGUGCGAAGGCAUUGGUAAAGGAGGGAGUUUUGUGGAGAAUCGGAGAUGGAAAAUCGGUGAACAUUUGGGACGACCUAUGGGUAGUGGGGGAGGAGGGAAGAUUUAUCACUAGCCCGCCAGUUGAUGAGAUUCGUAAAGUUAAUGAUUUGAUAGUUUUCCCUAGAAUGGAAUGGAAUAAUCAUCUUAUUUCACUUCAUUUUAAUGAGAGAGAUCAAUGCCGCAUUCUUGCUAUACCGUUAAGUGUGCGAGCUCCUCAAGAUUCUCUUACUUGGGCGUAUUCCAAAGAUGGGUUGUAUUCCACAAAAACAGCGUAUAUGUUAGGGAAGGGAGGGAAUUUAGAGAAUUUACAUGAGGUAUGGAUGGAUAUUUGGAGUAUGGAGAUUCCCCCGAAGGCCAAACAUUAACUAUGGAGACUUUGCUCAAAUACUCUACCCACACGGGCCUUGCUCAAGUACCACCACAUGCCGGACGACGAGUCUUGUCCAUGGUGUGCUACUGUGGAAGAAACGAGCAUUCACGCGCUUGUACAGUGCACUCGGGUUCAAGAUUUAUAGGUUAGUAGUGGUGCUAGCCCUAUGAUACAGAAUACGGGGUUGGAUUGGAGGGAUACGGUGUUGGGCUGGCGAGGGGUGGAGGUUUUGAAGCGCCAAAGAGCUGCACUUUUUCUAUGGAUAGUGUGGACGGAAUGGAACCGCAAAGUGUUCGAAGGGCACACCACUCCUAAUGAGGUUCUCUUGGCUCGGUUGGAAAGAAUGGUGGCUGAGCAGACUUUAUACACCCAGCAAGUGUACAAAAGCUCAGUCCCGCGAUUCGCUUCUAGUGUUCACAGGUGGUUCCCUCCACCUUCGUGUGUUGUGAAAAUCAACUCGGACGCAUCACUGGCAGUUGAGGGGUGGGUUGGUAUGGGAGCAGUGGCAAGGAACGAACAUGGUGAAGUUUUGUUUGCGGCGUCCCGAAGAAUCCGAGCCUGGUGGUCCCCUGAAAUUGCGGAAUGCAAAGCUCUUCUACUUGCAAUUAAGUUGGCAAAGCGUUACGGCUAUGAACUCAUUGUCCUAGAGUCGGACAGUCAAGUACUCGUUACUCGUCUAUCCAAAGCAGCUAUUUUCUUGUCUGAUUUUGAUAGUAUUUUAGAAGAUGUUUUGUUUUUGAGUUCCAUUUUUAGUUCUGUAGUGUGGUUUCAUGUUAAAAGGGGUGAAAAUUAUGUUGCCCACCACCUUGCUAAGUUAGUGCCCUUUGGUGUGGAACAAGUAUGGGAGAAUCACUUCCCAGGGGAGAUCUACCCCUAUAUACUCUCGGACGUUUUGUCCAUGAAUUAAUGCACUACUAAGCUUUCCCCUAAAAAAAAAAAAUUCAACAAUUUUCUAUUUAGAUUGAAUAAAAUAUAGUAAACAACUAAAAAUUCUAGAUUCUCUUUAACACUUUCAACUUGAAAAGGUACUAAUUAGAAGUAUAUUUUAGAAAUAUGAGCAACAUUGGUAUUACUCUCCAAAAUUACUCUUCAAUCCAUUUUUUACUUUCUCUCUCCUCAAGAUACUACCAAAAUCAUCCCUUCAAAAAUUGCUAACAUUGACAUUACUCUCUAAUGAGCUCUCCAAAAAAUUAAAAAGCAAAAAAAAAAAAAUGGAAAAUACGUAAUUAUCAAUGACAUGUGUCAUAUUAAUGUGCUAAGAGCAUGCUCUCUCAAUACUCUUGGGAUAGAGCAUUUUUUCAAGUUCUCUACACGGAGAGCGAAUGGAGAGUUUCUAGAGAGCAUCACUUUUGGGGUAGAGUUGGCUCUCCAUUUUCUCUCUUCUUAAAUAGUUCUUUGAAGAUCAAUUUGAAGAGCACCAAUGUUCGUCGCAGAGACAUUUACAAUUUACCCAAAUUUCGCAAUUGAUAGAGAUCAGACGUAUGACCUAAGGAGAGAUCACUACCAAUUGUACCAACUGGCAAGUACUACUUAGUUAAAACAGAAAUUAAAUUAUCCCUAAGUACAUAAAAGGAGACGAAAGACCUCAAGGCGAUCACCAGUUUAAUGCUAUGUUUGGGAACCUUCAUUUCAUUUACAAUUUCAGAAUUGGGCCAAUUCACUUGUUUGGCAAAGACUAGGAAUUAAAAUUAGAAUUGGCCCAAAUUCCAGCCAAUUACCACAUAGCCCAAUAAUUGUAAUUUAGAAAUCCCACCCCAACCCACGACAUUUCCAAUUCAAACAAUUAGAACGCUUCUUCUCUCUCUUCACCAUUGCAUCUGCCCUAGUAUCUCCACCAUGAACGCUUCACUCUCUCUCCUCCUUCUUCUCUCUCUUCACCAUCGCAUCUGCUAAAAUCUUCCUAAGAAUGCUUCCAAGGAAUCUGGAAUAUCCGUGUGGAACUAGAAAAUGUCUGAUUCAUCAAAUGUUCAAGAGUCGAGAAAACGUGUGAGGGAUAACAAUGAGGAUACGGAGUUGGUCAUGACAGUUGUAGGUUUCAUUAUGGUAGUAUAGUAGGGGCUUGGUAUGGUCAAAAAUAUAGAGUGAGAGAGAUAACUUGGGACGAAAGUAAGCGUCCAAAAGAGGUCUAUUUGGAUGGAGGAUUUGAGGAAUAUAGGAUAUGCCGAGAGCAAUUGCGUUUUGACAUACGUUGUUUUGACAAUUGUGUAGUAUUUUGCAGUCUAGAGGAGGGUUAAAGACUACUAGAUAUGUUACAGUAAAAGAAAUUGUUGCAUUGUUCCUUCAUAUUCUUGCACAUGAUUUAAAAAAUAGAACUAUGCAAUCAAUUUUUGCUCGCUCUAGAGAAACGGUUAGUCGUCAGUUUCACGUAGUACUCGAAGCUGUACUGAAGAUAGGUAAAUAUUAUAUCAAGCCAGUUAGUCAUACCACUAAUUGUUCACGGGAUGAUAAGUGGAAGUGGUUUGAGGGGGUUGUUGGAGCUCUUGAUGGGACCCACAUUAAAAUGACGGUCCCUAUUGAGGAUCGACCUCGCUAUCGAGAUAGAAAGGGAGAUAUUAGCACUAAUGUCUUAGCUACUUGUGAUCAACCUUAUUUUUUCUUAUGUUCUACCCGGUUGGGAGGGAUCGGCAUCGGAUCCUCGAGUCCUUCGUGAUGCUCUUCGAAGGCCUAAUGGACUUAAAGUACCAAGAAAUAGAUACUUCCUCGUAGAUUUGGGAUAUACUAAUGGCGAAGGUUUCUUAGCUCCUUAUAAAGGUAAUCGUUACCAUUUGAAUUUGUGGCGAGGUAAUACUCCAACAAAUUAUAAGGAACUUUUUAACUUGCGACAUUCUUCCGCUCGAAAUACCAUUGAAAGAGCAUUUGGGUUAUUGAAAAAGCGUUGGUGUAUUAUUAGAGAUCCUAGUUUUUAUGGGAAGAAGACACAAGUUAGAAUCAUAAAUGCUUGUUUCAUCCUCCAUAAUUUUUUAAGAGAGGAGAAAUUGGAGGAAGAAAGUCUAUUACAAGAAGUAGACCAAGAUCUAUUGAAUUCGGAAGGAAUUGAUGAAGCACAACAAGAAGAUUAUAUUAUGGCUAUUAGGUCUUCACACGAGUGGAAUGAAUUUCGAGAUGAUCUUGCUAGAAAAUUGUUUACGGAUUACCAAAGGCGGCGAAGGGCACAUCAUGCUACUUGACUGUUCCAUUUCAAAAUGUAUAUAGGUUUUUAGGCAACAUACAUAAUGAAUAAACAAGGCAAAAAGCCCAUGAUCUCAACACAAAAAAAGGAGUUAUGUUACUUGGACUCCCCAAAUGGAUAUGAUCCUCACGUCAACUUUGCUUGAACAAAUGACCGGAGGGAACAAAGGCGAUAGAGAUUUUAAGCCACAAGCGUAUCAAGCUGUGGUUGACAAGCUAAGGUUGGAUUUGCAAUUGCAUGUUACGGUAGAUCAUGUCAAGAAUAGGAUUAGAGUUUGGAAGAAACAUUAUGCGACAAUCACUGAAAUUAGAACUUACACUAAAUUCAUAUGGGAUGAUGAAAGGAAGAUGAUUAAGAUCCGAGUCGAAGACCUUGUGGCAUGGCAGGAUUAUUGUAAGGACAAUCCUAGUGCCUCUGCUUACAAAACAAGCAAAUUGACAACUGGGAUGAUAUAUGCACUCUAGUGGCUGUGGAUAGAGCGGUGGGUGAUGGCGCGAAGCAACAUGAGGAGUCGGCAUCAGCCAUGGAGGCCGAGAAUGAAGGGGGUAGCACUUCCGAGACACCUUCAGGAGAUUCCAACAAGAGACUUAAAAGGGAUCGUUUGGCGGAUGCGGUUAGUAGCUUUGCCGAAUCGUUCAAAGACUACCUCAAAGCAAAAGAUCCACCAAAACCCACUUCUUCUGAGGUAUAUGACGUUGUUUCUAAUGUUCUUGGUAUUACUCGACAUCAAAUUCUGAGGGCUGUGAAGAGGUUCCUUGGCGGCACAGUGGAAGAGUUUGACAUGCUCAAGCGUCUUCCAGAAAAUGAGAAGUUGGAUUGGAUUUUAUUGUGCCUAGAAUAGCUAGGUGGUUUUCUCUUUUUUUGUCUAAUUAAAAGUUGUACUAAACUAGUUGAAACUUUAAACUUUUGGAAUUCAAAUUCCACUUGCGUGCCAAACAGAUAGUAGAAUAUUCCACUUGCGUGCCAAACAGAUAGUAGAAUUUGAAAUUCUAGAAUUGUAAUUCCCGGUGUUUCCCAAACAGUUAUUAGAAUUUGAAAAAUUCUAGAAUUGUAAUUCCCGGUAUUUCCCAAACAGUUAUUAGAAUAUGAAAUUCUAGAAUUGUAAUUCCCGAUGUUUUCCAAACAGUUAUUAGAAUUUGAAAUUUCGGAAUUGGAAA
RNA transcript from Beta vulgaris subsp. vulgaris (sugar beet), 7087 nucleotides. It is a transcript of the gene named sugar transport protein 5, with no coding region annotated. The transcript is spliced from 8 exons. NCBI's taxonomy places the organism in Eukaryota, Viridiplantae, Streptophyta, Magnoliopsida, Caryophyllales, Amaranthaceae. The record is from RefSeq and is a predicted model, not a curated record.